RNA transcript from Scomber japonicus (chub mackerel), 1879 nucleotides. It is a transcript of the gene named heterogeneous nuclear ribonucleoprotein A/B-like, with no coding region annotated. The record is from RefSeq and is a predicted model, not a curated record. NCBI's taxonomy places the organism in Eukaryota, Metazoa, Chordata, Actinopteri, Scombriformes, Scombridae. The transcript is spliced from 10 exons.
GCCACGAGUUAGCGGCGAAUUUGGAGAGUGUCCAUUUUGAGCAGCGAGUCGGCGUCUCCGGUAUUUUCCUAUUAAAUCUCUCAGAGAACCCACCGUUAGAAUGGCAGACGCUGAAAAUCUGCUCAUGGAGACAUCAGAGCAGAACGGUAACGAGGGAGAGGAAGACCAGAACGGAGCCGAGCAGGAGCUCAUGGGCGGAGAUGAUUGCCAGGAUGUUCAGGACGGUCAGGAAUGCCAGGAUGGCCAGGACGGCCAGGACAACGGCACAGAUGGAGGCAAGAUUGACGCCAGCAAAGGAGAGGAAGAUGCUGGUAAAAUGUUCGUUGGCGGCCUCAGCUGGGACACAAGUAAAAAAGACCUGAAGGAUUACUUCAGUAAGUUCGGCGAGGUGUCAGACUGCACCAUCAAGAUGGACUCCAACACUGGCCGAUCCCGAGGCUUCGGCUUUGUCCUAUUCAAAGACUCUGCCAGCGUGGACAAGGUGCUGGAGCAGAAGGAACACAGACUGGACGGACGUCAGAUUGACCCCAAGAGGGCGAUGGCCAUGAAGAAGGAGCCUGUCAAAAAGAUCUUUGUUGGCGGUUUGAACCCAGAAGCAACUGAGGAAACCAUCAGGGAAUAUUUCGGGGCCUUUGGAGAGAUUGAAACCAUUGAACUUCCCAUUGACCCCAAAUCAAAGAAAAGGAGGGGUUUCAUCUUUAUCACAUACAAAGAUGAAGCCAGCGUCAAGAAGUGUCUGGAGAAGAAAUACCACAACAUCGAGGGCGGCAGGUGUGAGCUGAAGAUCGCUCAGCCAAAAGAGGUGUACCAGCAGCAGCAGUAUGGAGCAGGACGAGGUGGUGGUUAUGGUGGCCGGGGAGGGAGAGGCCGUGGAGGUCAGAGCCAGGGCUGGAACCAGGGCUAUGGAAACUACUGGAACCAGGGAUACGGUAAUCAAGGCUAUGGCUAUGGUGGAUACAGCGGCUAUGGCAACUAUGACUACUCUUCUGGUUACUACGGAUACGGUCCUGGAUAUGAUUACAACCAGGGCAGUGCCAGCUAUGGGAAAACCCCGAGACGGGGGGCACACCAGACCGGCUACAAGCCAUACUGAUGAUCACAUGGACUCGCGAUCCAGUGAGACCGACAGCCGGACGGAUACACUGAUCCUGACUCAACCUCUUUUAUGACAGAAGACCAUUUGUACAGAAAACAACAGAAAUGCUCUGGGGUGGAAGAUUGAAACCAGCUCAACAACUUUUUUAAUGGUUUUAUUAUGAUGAUUUUUUGGUUUUGAUGAUCUGUAAUAAUGAAAAAUGUUAGGCAGGUAACUUUAAAGUUAUUUAGCUUAACUCAGGAAUUGUAUUUCACAUCCCCGCAGAGGACACAUUUGUGUUUUUGUCUUUUUAUUUUUCCCUCCAUUUUUACAUGUAGUGUAGUGUAGUGUAGUGUACCAUUAAGGAAUUUAAACUCUCAGUCAUAAUUCCUUAAACCUUGAAGGACUGCCUGAAAGCUUUUGUCUAAGAUGUUCUGAUUUUACAAAGUAAACACCUCAAAGCAUGCACAUGUGUUGGAUGAAAUAUAUAAUAUAGCCAUGCAGCCACCUAACUACAUGUAACUACGGACCUCUUACUAUAUUCACGCCAUUUUUUUUUUUAUUUUUAAUUUUUUUUUAAACCAACCAAACUGUUAGUUUCUGUGCUGGUUUAGUUUGCUUGUCAAGUUAUUCUUAGAAUAACUUCUGAAGUUAAAUGUCUGCUUAGUUUUUCUGGAUGGACUUCAGGCCUUUGGAGUGUCCUCAGCCAGUGUCUCUGGCUGUAUAUUAGAAAUAAACGUUCUUGUUUGUAAUUGUUUUUCCUAAUGCUUAAUGUUACUGUUAAUUAUGAACUGAGCCCUGAAG